Molecule: ribosomal RNA, 525 nt
Filed under: uncultured bacterium
Lineage: Bacteria
Description: bacterial SSU rRNA
Rfam family: Bacterial small subunit ribosomal RNA
Source: RNAcentral
ACAAAAAGUACUAUCAAUUAAAUAAAAUGGUAGAAACAAAAGAAUAGCGAAGAAGAAGCAAAUGCGCUUCACGCUAAUUCCAAGUACCAACACAAAACAAAUUCAAUGUUUGGUGAAGCAACUUGCUUAGUGGCGGACGGGUGAGUAACGCGUGAACAAUCUGCCCCGUACAAAGGGAUAGCCUCGGGAAACCGGGAUUAAAACCAUAUAACACUUAACUGCCGCAUGGUAGUGAAGUCAAAUCGAUUAAGAGGUAUGGGAUGAGUUCGCGUCUGAUUAGCUAGUUGGUGAGGUAAGGGCUCACCAAGGCGACGAUCAGUAGCCGGCCUGAGAGGGUGAACGGCCACACUGGAACUGAGACACGGUCCAGACUCCUACGGGAGGCAGCAGUGGGGAAUAUUGCACAAUGGAGGGAACUCUGAUGCAGCGACGCCGCGUGAGUGAAGAAGGUCUUCGGAUCGUAAAACUCUGUCCUUGGUGAAGAAAAGGACGGUAGCCAAGGAGGAAGCCCCGGCUAACUACGUG